RNAcentral lists this Piwi-interacting RNA (12327 nucleotides) under Cordylochernes scorpioides. The stretch from base 8814 to 8878 matches the Rfam family "tRNA". The record is from RNAcentral. Lineage: Eukaryota; Metazoa; Arthropoda; Arachnida; Pseudoscorpiones; Chernetidae.
AGAACUGUCUUCACCUCCAAGAAAAGGGGUAAACUAAGAUUUCAAACCAAGGGGACAGAUUGGUUGUCUUGAGCGAUGACUUAUCUAAAAGAGAUCACUUCGAUCAUGAACCAUUAUUUGGUUUGUAGUAUAGGUCUCUCUUAUACGAUACCAGCCAUUAAGUCACAUCGUGGAAAGUUCACUUACUUACACGAACGUGUAAGAUAGCAUUCCGUAACCUCCGCGUCUGAGAUAACAUUUUAGCAUGAUGAUCAAGCAAAAGAGAUGCAAAUAAAUUUCCCUCUUUUUUUUCCUAGAAUGUCAUAUGUUUCAUAUUACAAAAAGGGCCUAUUUGGAUUUUCGGAAUAGAAAUUUUGUGUAUUAAAAGGAAAGAAACUCCUAAAUUUCCAAACAAACGCGGAGGGCUUUGUAAUUUCCAUAAGAAGGUAUAAAUGAAGAUGUAUUGGGUAGGAGAGGAUUUAUAUCUGAUGGACCAAUCAAUGUGGAGAGCAGAUACUGAUUCCAUAAGAAGUGAAAUGCUCAAGUAAAGAUGUGUGGGGUGGUAGAUGAUAUUUACAACAGGAGAUAUUUAAUUGGUGAUCAAAAUACGGAGAAAAUAGAAAAUUCCAGCGGAGGACUGACAUCUGCUGAGAAAGCUUAAUAUUCUAUCAAAAAUAUUAAUUUUUAACAAAAUAAUUUCAAUUUUUAAACAAAAGUUUAAAUUUUCUACACACCUUAUGAGGAGCUCAUUGUUUCUCUUGAUCCCUAGGUUUCAGCUUGAUAUAAUGAAAUAAACUUUCUUCGUUAAAUGACUUUAAGCAGGGUAUUAACCACAAAUAAAACAAAAGUUAGAAAUUACGCAAACUCGUAAAGCCACACUGCAGAAAUAAAACAAUCCCCGGUCAGCAGCAAUGACAACCGACGCAUGCGCGAAGCCAUUCUAAAUUUUUCAUAGCUUACUUUACGUGGAUUUAGCAAGAAAAUCUGAGAGAGGUGAUGGAAAUUUUAAAAUAUAACAUUUUCCCUAGUUUUAUGGAAUGAAAAUCUCUCAAACAGUCAAAAUAUCUAAGCAGCUUUUUGGCUUCAAAUUUGUGUUAUCAAUAUGAUUACAGAUUAUCAUCAGAUAUACAAAAAUCGUCAUUAUUUUAACAUGAUUCAUCAAUAUAUUUUCCAAAAUUCACCAAUAUUUAAUAAAUGAAAACAUUAAGACGCGAAUUUUUAUUUUUAUAAAUAAAUAAAACUUUUCUACUGUCAUUACUGCGAUGAAAAGAUAUUGGGAGAGCUUGGUUCAUCAGUGGUAAACCUCCCAAUAUUUUUUCAUCGCAGUAAGGCCAGUAGAAAGUUUUAUUUAUUUGCGAAAAAAAUAUUCACGUCUUAAUGUUUUCAUUUUGUUAUAUAUUGAUUGCGCGUUAUUGCUUUGUAAAAUUUCAUCAAUAUUUUUACAAUAAUUUUAUCACUAUUUUUACAUGCUUCAUUAUUACUUAAAUCAUUAUUUGGUUUAAAACCCAAUAAUUUUAUCAUCCUAACCACGAAUAUUUUAUCCUACAAUAUCUGUCAUACGUGGAAGUCUCUGUCGAAAAAAAAAAGAAUAUAAAGCGUCAGGAAAGAGCUUAUUUGUAACUGGAGGAGGCUGCACCACGACCAUCCAAUAGCACAUUGGCAAGUACUUAGCCAAGAACAUUGUGGCAACACUAUACCAGUCGGAUUACAGUCCCGACUUCUCAAGAAUAAAAAAGAGCUUAAAAGGCCACAAUUUUGGAAUUCUGUAAAAUGUCAACAAGGCUGUGACGACAUGCUGAACGAAGCUCUUUCCGACACCUUCCAGCCAGCCUAUUGGCAGCGAUACUUUUAACUGUGUAUGACGCUUUUCUAUUUGAAUAAAUCUAUUGUAAUUAUGUAGACCAUGGAAAUUUUUGAAAAAUGUAAAAUCAAUUUUACUGUAAAGAACAAACCCUAAACUAUAAUUUAAUUUAGCAACGCCAGUUAAUGCGCAUGCGUAGUUUUCAUUUUAGGCAUAUUUUUGUUGUAAGUAUUUAGCUCGCGGCGGUUUCCGCAAUGCCAUCAUUUGAGCAAAGAGCAAAUAUUAAAUUUUGUGUAAAAUUUAAAAAGUCUUUCACAGAGACAUUAGCAUUAAUAAAUGGAGAUUAUAAAGACGAAAAAUUGUCACGAACGCAAGUUUAUUUCUGGUAUAAAUGUUUUAAAGAUGGCCGUAAGAGCAUCGCAGAUGAUUCAAGGUCAGGUCGGCCAUUGACGUCAACAACGGAUUGCGAUAUUGUGCAGGUACGUGAUUUAAUUGUUGCUAAUAGAAAUAUUACUAUUGAUAAUAUAUCAGAAAUACUUGGAAUUUCGUAUGGUAGUUGCCAAAAAAAUAUUGGUGAACAUUUAAACACGAAAAAACUUUGUGGUUAUUUUGUCCCACGAAAUUUAACAGAUCAACAAAGAAAAACCGUAUUAUCAAUUUGCAAAAAUUUAAUUGAAACUGCAAAUAAUGAUUCAGAUUUUUUAAAACAAUAAUAACUGGUGUGAUGAAACAUGGUGCUUUAUUUUUGAUCCACAAACUAAAAAACAAUCACUCGAAUGGCACACACCAAGUUCUCCUAGGAAGAAGAAAGUUCGUCUUGACAAGUCCAAAAGAAAAGUAAUGCUUGUAGUGUUUUAGAUUAUCAAGGACAUGUCUAUUAUGAAUUUAUUAAAGAAGGGGUUACUAUUAAUAACAGGCAUACAAAUAAAUACUUGUACGUCUUCGUGAUGCGAUAAGAAGAAAAAGAAACCAACUCUUUAAAUCAAAACAGUGGAAAUUGCUACAUGAUAAUGCCCCUGCUCAUAGAGCCAUUAUUAUUCAAGACUAUUUAGCCAAACACUCUGUAUCUGUUGCCGCAUCCUCCUUACUCUCCUGAUAUCGCCUCAUGUGAUUUCAUCUUCUUUCCUAAACUUAAAAUGACGUUAAAAGGGAGGCGCUUUUCAUCGUCAUCAGAAGUAAUUGAAAAUGCGACGGUGGAGCUAAACAAGCUUAGAAAAUUUGACUUUGAACUAGCAUUUCAACAGAUUUUUUCACGCUGGAAAAAAUGUGUAGAUAACCAAGGAUCCUAUUUUGAAAAUUUUGAUGUCUAAAUUACUAUACUAUGAAUAAAUAAUUAAUUUUAAAAAAAUUUCGGGAACUUUUUGAUCCUACCUUGUAUAGCCCAAGACAUUUCCUGGUUUUGUAAUUUCCUGUUUUGAUCAGAAUUGACCGCCAAUAUAAAGUAAUAUUUAACGCCGUUUGACUUUUUUCUAAGUCUAAGGGAUUUAUGCCAAAACACGCCUCUCGAAGGAGGAAACCGAACGUUCUAUUUAUAAAUUUAGACACAUGUAUAGAAACGGUCAUGGACAUCAACAAAAGAGUACUAUGUGUCAGCAAAGCCACCCAAUAUAUACUAUUCCAUACAUAACCCGAAGUACUGCAUACUUAAUGAAUCCAUAAGUAAUUAAUAAUUUUCAAUUAUAAACCGAUAUUUUAUUCAAAAUUACUUCUUGCUUGAAUUUUGGGACAUCCUAUAUAUACCAUUGUUAUUAUUUGUAUAGAGAUACUUUUUAAAAUCUUUUAUUGGUUUGUAAAUUGAUUAGAUGUCAAUGGAAUGUUUGAGAUAUGUCAACAGGCUGGUGUGUUUUUGUCAAAGACAACACGAGAUCAAGAAUGAAGGCGAUCGUCUGAUGUCAAUUCUGAGUCUAAUCUCCCCUAGAACCCUUUGAUUAUGCUAAUUUUAAAGUGUUUUGGGGGGAUAGGAGUCAGUUUCGAACCUUCUACGACGGCAGAAGUUUCUGAAAUACUGGUGAGUACUUGCCAAUCAUGUGGCGAGUUUCCUUUGUCAGUUCUAAUUGUAUGAAUACAUAGUUUAAACAUAGUGCCCCCAUCUAAAUGCUCAACAUAGUUUUAUAAUAAUUUCUAUCUAAAUACUUUUAUUUUUAACAUAAAUACAUUGCAUGAAUUAUAUAUAUAUAUACAUUGAUGAAUAUCAGAAUAUAGUUAUUUUUUUAUUCUAUAUGAGUAUUAUAAAUUAUUUUAUAUAUUUAUAUGGCAAUAUACACAGUAUAGUAUAUAUUCUCACAAUUAUUUAUAGUUCUAGCUCAUACUACCGAUUUAUUUUUAAAGCCACCCGCUCAUUACGAUAAAAACAUUGCCCCAUUUUCUCCUUUUGAUAUAUACAAAUUCUAUUCUAUUCCAGGUCAUAGUGGCUACCUAGAAGUUUGAUAUUUUGUAUAAUUUCGUUGUUAGCCUGGUUCAAAUCACAUUAAUAGGUACCGCUCAGCAAGAGCAACCUAGUUCAUGAUAAUUGAAACAGUGAAUAAUAUGUGAAGGUUAUUCACAUAUUAAACACAAUUUAAACGCGGGAUUCAAUCCCGGUCCAUGACUGUCGGGAAUCGAGCGUGUUACCCUCUCAUCCACCGACUUUUUUGUUGUUAGCUUGAUUGAGUGAGUUCAUAAUAUUUUUUUUUACUUCUAUGUAGUCUGUAAUUAUAUUAAAAAUGUAUUCUAAAAAUUUUAAAAUAAAUAUAGAAAUUUGUCCGAUGCUGACAACCCAGAGGUCUUGAAUUUUGUAGACACGCAUUGAUAACAGAAUCGAUCGAAUUUUUCUUAAUUCAUAAUUAUAUAUGGUCUGUAUAUAGUAUAUUGAACCUUUAUCACCAAAAUUGAAAGCAAAUAUAGAAAUUAUUCCAGUCCCGACCACAUUUUUAUCAAACUCCAGCCUCUUAUUACACCAAAGAAACGGCUGUGCCUAUUUUUGUCCGUUUUAAAAGGAAAUUCUCUUCUCUAGUGUAUUCCCGACCAUCAUAGAAUUCGGAAAUUCUAUACAUUUUCACAAUGUAAGUAGGAUCGAACUAGUCUAUUAAAUACCUGACUUCUAUGUGGUCAGGGAGUGUAGUAAAAAUUGAUCACAAAAUUCGAAAUAUAUAAAUUAAAAUUAGUUCAUUUCAGACCACCCAGAAAUCUGAAAUUUUAUCAACAUGCAGGUUUGAACAAGUGUACCAAAUUUCAGACUUCUAAGUCUUCUGUAAGUAUACAAAAAUUGUUUAUAAUAUUUGUAGUCAGACUGACAUGGCAAAAGGUCAAAUAAAAGCUUUUAAUGACACUAUUUACAGUGCGAAUUUUCAAAUAAAACACAAUUAGGUACGUUGAGGAAUAUAGCGCAAUUCAUAGGUCAACAUGAAUUACUAAUAAUGAGGCGUUUUUUGAGUUUAAUUGAAACACACUUUAUUUGUGAAAUGUGAUAUUUAAAAAGACUGAACCUCUUUCUUUUAAAACAUAUUCACAAAUUAAAAACAUGACGAAGAUAUGCGUUUUUGUAUUUCUGAUAGAAUGGACUGUUGAGUUUUCUGGGUUCGGGUUUAAAAUUAUACAUAGCUCCAGGGUAUUUCUAUCUUUUUAUUUUAAUAUUAUUUUUGUCUAUUAUUGAAGACAAACAUUCAAUGAAUAAUAUUUCUUGUUUAUCAAGGAUAUUAUGGUAUAUUUUUUCCACUGUUAUUGCAAUAUGUUACAUGAUUUUUUAUAAUUGAUAACUUAGCUAGUAAGGAUAACGGCCUAUUAUUUUGUAGUCUGGAUUUAUGACGCUUCACUCGUUGUUCAAGUGACUUCCCAGUUUGACCUAUGUAUAUAGAUGGUAUAGAUGGUCAGGACCUACAAGGGAUUUUAUAAACUAUAUUGGCUUCUGUUUUUGGGAUGGCGAUAUAUAUAUAGGUUUGGUUAUAGGAUGGUGUAGUUUGGCCUUAGUUGUCUGCUGUUUCAGUGGCGUGUUAAUAUGCCGUGAUGACCCUCGCGAUUCUUUCCACACCACUGCUGUAGGGGAGUAGGCAGAAGCUGUUUUAAAAAGCAGGCAGAUGGUUAAUUGUAGCAUUUGGAUGCAGGAAUGUACUUAUUAAAUUUGUUUGGAUAGCCCUUUCUAAUUUGAGUUUUAAGUAGCCUAUAUUGUUCGCUUUUAUGGUCCAGUAUUCUAUUGAAUUAAGUAUGGACUCGUUUUGUGACCGUUCUAUCAUAAAGAUAAAGCCUUUUCUAAAGAAAUCACAGUUGAAAAUAAAUAGAACAGCUCCCUGCCAUUCCUCGAUGUCAAACUAAGACGCACUGAUGACCAAAUCUACUCUAGUAUCUACGAGAAGCCUUCAAAUCAGGUUUCUAAAUUUUGAAUCAUUCUGUUCCAUCAGUCAAAAUCAACCGUAGUCAAAUGAUGGAGCCAAAAGCUAUCCAGUCUUAAAUCCAAUAUGGUUUCUAAUACGUUUUCAAUCAAGGGAUAUUAAUCCUUGCCACACGCAGUGUGUCAUCGAAAUCUAUCUAACUCUUUGCCCCUACCUUUAUUGAACACACUCCACCCUGUACCUACUUCUCUAGAGUUGUUUACUUGAAUAUUUGAUCAAAGUGAUGCACAUACUAUUGAUUUGUUAACCUAGAUGAACAAUUUGAAAACAACCAUUUUAGCCUUAAUUACGAUUUAGACCUUAUUUUUAAAACGUGAUAUUUAUAAAGGCUGAAUCUCUUUCUUUUUCAAACAGAUUCACAACCCAAACUCACGACGAAGAUGUGCGUUUUCGUAGUACUGCAGGGUGGACUGUUGAGGUUUUCUUUGGUUAGCAUAUUCUAGAAUUAUAUUUGAUACCUUGAGAUUAAAAAUCUAAGUCUUAAAUGAGGUAAGUGUGCUAAAUCGAGAACGGGGAGUAUACUUUUACCAACUAUUAAUACAGUUCAAACCUUUCUACACGAAGAAUAAAUUUUAAAUAUAUGUAAUUAUAAUAAUAUUUUUUUGGCAAUAUAUUAUUUUCUUAUUAUAUAUUUAAUCAAAAAAUAUCUCUACAAACCUUACUACAAUGAUAGAAAUUAUUAGCUGAGAGAGCUUUGCUCAUCAAUAGCAAGCCCUUUCUCAUCUAAUAAUUUUUAUCAUUGCAGUAAGGUUUGUAGAGAUAAUAGUUGAUAAUAUAUAUCAUACUAGCGGAUGUACCCGGCUUCGCCCGGGUUUUACCCGAGUAAAGGUUUGUCUAACGAAUCUCUCGAUAAAGUGAACAUUUGUUCCCGGUCCCUUGAAAAAUACUCGAUAAGUUGAAUAAAAUCAAUAUUAAGUGGUUCCCUCGGUAAUUGGAAGUUAAAGGAAUAGUAUCUUGCCUUGGAAUUGUAUCAUUAUUCUUGUCUCAAAUAAAUUGCCGUGUCAUCCUGAAUUUUGUCUUUCCUAAUUAUCUACAUUACAAAAUCAUCGUAUCAUCAUGAUAAUAUUUAGAACAGAUUGUUGAAUUAUAAAACAGAUAAAUUAGAAUAUUUAUCUUGAUUAUUUUUAGGCGAAAAGUUAUUUCAAAAAUUUUAUUUGCUAGAAACCUUCCCAGUACUAUACUAAAUAACUUCCCAAAGUUUCAUGGCGUUCCAAUGAGUGGUUUGGUCAGGCAUAAAGGACACACACACAUACAUUCAUUUAUAUAUAUAUAGAUAAGACUCAUAUUGUCGAAAAUGAUAAUUAUAAUUUUAUCAAUAGAUGGUAAUACUAAUAUAAAGCAAUAACGCGCCAUCUAUAUAUAACAAAUGAAAACAUUAAGACGCAAAUGUUUCUUUCCACAAAUAAAUCAACCUUCUACUGUCCCUACUGCGUUUUUCAUCGCAGUAAGGACAGUAGAAGUUUAAUUUAUUUGUGGAAAAAAACAUUCGCGUCUUAAUGUUUUUAUUUGUUAGAUGGCAAUAUAUGGAAUUUACAGAAGAACAACUAAGUUCAACCUGAUUAUUCGCCAUGUUUGUCUGCAUAAACAAAUUGUGUUUUUCUUCUGUUUUACUUUCAUAUGUUCAGAUUGGUUGAGACAGAGUCACGUGUUCGCCCUGCCGUUCCUGAAGCAGCCGAUGUAGUUGAACUCCGCGCCUGGAGCUAAAUCUCACCCAUUUGCUUUGUUGGAAGAUUGUCCCAAAGUAUUUGGUUGGGAUUAGAUCCAGGUGUGGGCACGUACUUCAUCGCCUGCCUGGGGUAAGUACUACAGUACUUGUGACAUUCUUGUCUUACGUAACUGUCUCAUUCCGAUAUAUACAUACCUUCUUUUGCUAUCUAUUUAAUAAUUGCUAUGUAUUAAUUUAUGCCUAACUGGCCAUGCCCUUAUUGUUUGAGGAAGAGCAUUGCUCGAUGCAAAUACUUAAAUGUAAUUCUAAUGUGUCCUAAAAGCUUAUGUCCAUAGUUUGCUUAAAUACUAUUUAUAAGAUUCCACUCUUCAGUGUAACAUAUAAAAGCAGAAUGAUAUAAUACAGUAUUAGGGCUCUAAAGAAGCGUUCUGGUAGUUUAAAAAAAAAAAAAAAUUGGCGAAACCGCUGGGAGGACGCACCACGGAUGAGUCAAGCCCUCCCAAUAUUUUUUCAUCGCAAUAAGGACAGUAGAGUUUGAUUUAUUUGUGAAAAGAAACAUUCGCAUUUUGGUGUUUUCAUUUGUAUUAUAAAGAAGGCGCGUUAUUUCUAUGUAUUAAUAUAUACCUUCAUUUAAAUCUGUUUGUGUGGUCGAUGCAUAAUUAUUGCCCCUUAUGUUCAAUAAACUACAAUAAAAUGGCAAAUGAACUUGACUUUUUUUAUUGUUAGUUCGCUAAAAGGUUCUUUGAGAUAGUGAAAUGACCUUAAUGCGGUAUUCCAACUUUUCUCGAACUGGUAAAGUAUAACAUGGCUAAUAGGAUCGUGAUUUUUGGUACUUAUUUUUAUUUUCUGAAAAAAUAUAAUUUUUUUUUAAUUACAAUUUUUUUUGAAAACGCCAAUUAUUAAAGAAAAAAGUCUCGGAGGAGGGGUGAAGGAGGAAAGAAGCAAUAAUUAUGCACUGACUUCUCUCUAACUCUAAUAUAUAUAUAACAAACAUUGUUAUUAAGCCCGGCUAGCUCAGUCGGUAGAGCAUGAGACUCUUAAUCUCAGGUUCGAGCCCCACGUUGGGCGUUUUUUUUUUUUUGUUCUAAUUAAACGAUAAUAAAGAGGAUAAAUUGAUAGUGAUUUCGCAAUUUCAUUAUAACAUGUACUAAUUAUUUUUGGCAAUAUUUUUCAUAUAAAUUAUAUAAUAUAUUCGCUAAUCUAUAUAAUUGUAUAUAUCACACAGAGUCUGAUAGACUACACUGAUGAUAAUAUAGAAUGUACAGUAACAUAACCAACAGUGAGCUCCUAGAACCAUUGAUUUCCAAAGAAAACUAAAUCUUCAACAGGUGGAUAGGUUCAAUCCCCGGGGUUUCAGUAGGAUAACUUUUUUAUUAUCCCUAUAGAGUUCACCUGGCGAUGAUCCCCUGGCCACCCAUCCCCAGGCCCCUCCAACUGUGCUUUGUAUAUAUUCCGCUUUAUACGUCCAUCGGGGCUCAAAAAUCAUUCAUUUUGGUUAGCAGCCCCAUAAAAUAAAGAUAUUUUCUCUCUCUUAUCCCUAUAGACCAUGAUAUUCAUGAUGGGUAGUAAUUAACGACUGAUUUUACUGAACGUGCACCACAUGUCUACACAUUUGGAAAAGUACAAUAUAGCUACAUCAACAAAUUAUUUAUUUAAUUCCCGAUCUUUCAUCAUUCCACUGAGGAAAGUGACUCAAACUUCGGCAAUUACUGGUUAAUGUAGCCAUUUUUUCCAAAAAAAUAUAAGCUUCCAAACAACAAAUUAUCUUCAAUUACUAAACAUAUGGAAACCAGUUCAACUUUUUUCACUUACAAACUUGCCAUAACUCCCAUUUGGUUACUUGCACAUAGUGGUGGGCUUGAAAUUUGGCAAGAAUCGGGGACCUUUAGAGCAAUUUUUUCUUCAAAAAAUAAUGUCCAACGCGGGGUUCGAUCACGAGUCAUAGCUGUUGACAGUUUCUACGACUCCACCACCACCCACAAGUAUGAUAACUCCCCCAAACCAAUAUUGUCUCGCGAUACUUUAUUGCCGCAUUGACCCUGAUUAUGAGAGAGAAAACUGAUAAAUCAUAGGUAUAUCCACCAUUAUAUCUUUUAUCUCACACAUGGUGAAAUUAUUUUCACUUCACAACAUGCAAAUAUCCUAGAUGUUAUUAGUGAUUAUAUUAAACUAAGGUAGGUACACUCAUGGAUAAAACUUAAGAAAAGUUGUACCUUUUAACAUGUAUAUCGGGAUUCAGAUAAUAACUCUGACAGAACUCUGACUGACCUUUAUUGAAGACACAUGAGAUAACCAAGUGUGAACAAAAUUGCCUUUGUCUCCUUAAAAAAACAGAUGAUGGACGAAUUCAAAGACUUUCCACUUAAGUGUUGUCUAUAAAUGUAAUUAUUAUUCUCUUAUAAAUUGUUUAUAGAUAAGCAGUCUCUUUAGUAGCUCGUUUUGUAAUGAGAGUUAAAACCCUUUGCUCUAAAUCUCCCUAUUACAUGGCCAUAAUAAAAGCAACGUAUCGCUAUUUAUAUCGUUGUAAUUAUGAAGUCGAUAAAAGUAUGGGUGGACGAGUUGUAUAAACUGUUGUUUUUCGACAGCAACGACCCGGGGUCGAAUUCCACAUUGGACGCUUUUUUUUUUCUUUUUCUUUUUUAAAUAUACGAGGGUUGUCCGUUAAAUAAGUUCCACAGAGGUUUUUCAUACAGAAAAACAGGUUUAUUUGCCCUGAACUAUGCAUUUUCGAAAAUAUCAGACUUUUUUUAAUUUUUCUACAUAUUCCCCGUUUCGUUCGACGCAUUUUUGCAUUCGGGACACCCACUUAUGGAACCCAGAGUCAAAGACCCUGCCGCCUGGCCGCGUAGAAAGCCUAAAACCGCUUCUUCCAAACUCGUCAUCGUCCUGGAAUUGGGUUCCACCCAGGUUUUUCUUCAACUCGGGGAAGAAAUGGAAGUCACUAGGAUCUACGUCAGGGCUGUAAGGUGGGUGUGACACCAAUCCCCAUCCAAAUUCUUCGAUGAGGGCAGUGGCUUGAUGGGCGGUGUGCGGCCGAGCGUUGUCGUGGUGAAAACGCACCCCUUUGGUUAACAUCCCUCUCCUCUUGUUCUGAAUCACGCGUCGAAGUUGUUUCAAGAUCUCACAGUACCGGUCGGAAUUGAUUGUUGUACCCCGACGCAUAAAGUCACACAACAAUAGACCCUUUCGGCCCCAAAAGACGGUAGCGAUAAGUUUCCUGGCAGAAAGUGUUUGUUUAAACUUUAGAGGUUUCGGCGAAGAAGUGUGCUUCCACUGCUUGGAUUGUUCCUUUGUCUUCGGUGUGGUGUAGUGUACUCAGGUAACAUCACCAGUAACGAUCGAAUCCAAGAAUUCCUCUCCGUCAGUUUUAUGGCAAUCGAGAAAUUUCUGGGCCGCAUCAACCCACUGCCGUUUAUGGUCUUCAGUCAGCAUUUUCGGAACCCAUAUUGCGCAGACCUUUGAAUACCCUAAAUGUUCACGCAAAUUCUUGUCGAUGGUGGUUUUACUGACAUCAGGAACCAAAUCGCAGAGCUUCCGCACAGUAACCCGUCGAUCUUCAAGCAUUGUCGCUUCGACUUUGGCAAUGGUUUCGUCCGAAACCGAUGGCCGUCCAGCACGGGGUUCAUCGUGGACGUCUGUUCGGUCGUUUUUAAAUUCUCUGACCCAUCUGCGUACCAUCCCGGAACUCAUACACCCUUCUCCAUACACUUGACAGAGUUCAGUAUGAAUGUCCUUCGCCGAAUUAUUCUUUGCGGCCAAAAAGCGAAUUACUGACCGUAAUUCACAGCUGGCGGGAGACACGAGGGGAAGCUCCAUCACUAACGGCUGCUCAGCCAAAACUAAGCUUACCAGCGACGUGUCCUUGGUGUGAAAUUGGAGUGGGGAGAACAAGCUACGAGCCCGUGCAGUCGGCUCGAGCCUAAAAGCGAUCCUCAUGACAGUGGUGCCCCGUGGAACUUAUUUAACGGACAACCCUCGUAUAUAUAUAUAUUUCAAUGGCUCCCUAUUCUUUUAAAAAGUGUUUUCAAGGAACCCAACGGGGUUUUUGCACAUUUGUUAGUGUAAAAGUCGAAUUGCAUUCCCCGUGUGUAAACAUGCGAUACGCUUACAAUAAAGACAGUCGCCAACUUCUACCCACCAUGAUUAUCAUGGCUUGUACCACAUGUACUAAAUUUAAUUAAAAAUUGUUUUAAAAAUAUAAAAGUUGACAGAUUCUAGCGAUUCAAUCCUUAUUUAUUAAAACUGUUGAUGAUGAUGAUGAUUGGACAGGAUUCAUUACUAAUUAGCCAGCAGGACCUUUCGAAAAAUAUAUAUUUAUUUAGAACUACACAGUAAGGAUUAGUAUAAAUCCAGUUUGUGUAGAUGAGAAACAAACUCAGACAUUCCAGCCAUACUUGGUUCUAAAUCUCAACCAUUUGCUUUGAAGGUAAAGUAUCAAAGUAUUUGUUUGGGGUUGGAUCCAGGUGUGGACAGCCAGAGUGGACUACGUCAGCAAAAUCAGAAAAAUCUACCUGGCA